CUUCGUAAAAAAUUUAGAAAAUUUGGUAUCGAUAUUAUCUACAGUAGUAGAAAUAAUCAAAUGAAAACAAAGUUGGGGUCUACUAAAGACACUAUUGACAAAUUACAUAGGACUCAGAAAAAGGAAUAACUCACCAUUUCAGAUCCAAAAUAGCCGAACAUAUAUUUCAUGAAGAUCACGCUAUGACUACCGACAACAUUAGUCUAGUUCGAUCAGUAACAUCCCCUUGGAAAUUAGAUGUCGCAGAAAGUUUAGAAAUUUUCAAACAAAACCCAGCUACCCUCCUUAACAGAGAUCAGGGUAAUCAUU
This is a long non-coding RNA of Wyeomyia smithii (pitcher-plant mosquito), 309 nucleotides long. RefSeq lists it as uncharacterized. The transcript has 2 exons. The record is from RefSeq and is a predicted model, not a curated record. NCBI's taxonomy places the organism in Eukaryota, Metazoa, Arthropoda, Insecta, Diptera, Culicidae.